UGUCUGAUAUUUGGUGUGCUUCCUCGUUU
Molecule: non-coding RNA, 29 nt
Filed under: Mus musculus (house mouse)
Lineage: Eukaryota; Metazoa; Chordata; Mammalia; Rodentia; Muridae
Source: RNAcentral